UAGGGUAACUGUACCAGUUUUCGGCAGGCUAGUGCAGCAGUUUCACAAAAAUUGCUCACACAUCAAUAUUUUUCAUUAUUUUUCUUGAAAGUGUUGUUAUUCUGGUUGAUAAACUAUCAUAGUAUGUUACAAUAUUUUUAAUUUGCCGGUUCAAAGUCCUUUUUCAUAAAUAUUCGUGAAAAUGCAAACAUUGAUUUUGCUCCUAUUUUCGGCAGUUUGUUCCUAUUUUCGGCAGGCUGUGUUCCUAUUUUCGGCAGCGCGAAUACGGGUCAGAAAAUGUUUGUAUCAAUGUGAAUAUGUACAAAAAAAUGUUUAAAGCAAUUUAACACUCUUACUUUCCUAAGAUUGGUGUUAAAAAGCACUUUAAUUAUUAAUUUUAUGUUGCUUAUUUUGGCCCGUUUUGACAGCCAUUUUGAUGCGACGUUUAAACAGAGCAGCCAUUGACAGUUUGAUGGUUAUAGCGUACGGUGCGAACUGGCUUACAAAUAUUUAUUUUUCUCUUAAGUUAGUGCAUUGUUUGUCGUAAAAUUGGUGAUAUUUGGUACAAGAAAGGUCAUAUUAUGUGUCGACAUACGCAUUGUAGUGUUCUGAUCAAUUUUAAAAGGAAUAUUCAGCCAAAUUCAAAGUGUGUUAUUGUUCCGAGUUUCGGCACGAGCCCACAACAUUGAGCUGUCAAAAAUGAACAUUUACUGUGUACCUAUUUUCGGCAGCAUUUAAAGUGAAAAAUAACCUGUUUAUCGUGAUUUUAAAAUUCCGAACAAGUUAGAAUAAAUUAAAUAAGCAUAAAAUCUUUAAUAUACACCACUUUUUCAUUGUUUUACUGUUCUGAUUCUCUUAAUCACAAAACCUGCCGAACGAGUGGCUGACAGCAAAGCUGCCGAAAAAAAGCACAAUUUAUUUGAUAUUUUGGAAAAUACGUAAUGAAAUGGUGUGAAACUUCGUAUGUGAAUAUCAAAUAAGUACACCUUCACUACAAAAUUGUAUUUUGUGAAAUUUUUUACCGCAUUUGUGCAGAAUUUCACGUUUUUAGCUACCCUGCCGAAAAUAGGUACACUGCCGAAAACUGGUACAGUUACCCUAUGUUGUAAAUGAAAAGUUCGAUUUGCGUUUGAUUGUUUUUUCCACGUUAAUGUUAGGCGAAGUCUUAGGAUUUCCGUAUGAUCUCAUGCGAUUGCUUAAAUGUGUUUGCCCGGUGUUACCCCAUAUUUCGCCACCGAUUGUUAUACCUUCCUGUAAUUUUGUUCUAAUAUAAUCACUCUUGCAUUUUAGGUGCAGCGGUUGCUUAUUCUGAAAACGAGAAUUGUCAAAAGUCUCAGUUCGCGCAUGGAUGCAUAACAUGGAAUGAUGUUGUAGUGAAUGCAAUUUUUCUUCUUAGGCUCGCUCACUAUUGUGCUCGUCGGUCACGAUCCAUAGAUACGGUAUGGUUGAUUGAUGCAAACGACUCCGACCAGUGCUGAACGACGCAUAAGAGCUAGUGGUGGUCUAUACGACUCGAAAUCGAUGCACCAUCGAAUCGAGGUCGCGUAUGCCUUCUUGCACCUGCUGAUCUUCCGGGUAUAGUCGAACUGCGACCUAUUGCAUCCGCUGGACCCACGGGACGAUUCAUUUAAUGACCGGACCCAGAGUCGGGGGCGAGCCAAUCGGAAUCAAAUUCCGUGGUUGCAGCGAGUUUGGUUCGACCCGUCAGGCCACAAAACGUUUAGGUGGGUCCGGGCCAUAAGCCUACUUUGGCCCAACCUGACCCGAACUCGCUGCUGCAACGGGUCCGCUCAUGCUUUCUUGCAUGUACUGAACAUACUUACACCUUACGGUUCGACCCGGACGACUCAGGGUCGUUUACGGAUGACUCCGACUCGGUAGACCUCUUGAUAAAAAUCGAAAACUGUCUAGGUUUUGUACAGCCCAUCCUAGUAGUUGUUGUUGUUAGUAUUGUUUAGAGAGGCUUUGGCUCCUGCGGAGUUCUUUCGCCUAAAACCCCAACCUAGUAGUACUACGCUAUCUACUCAUGAGCGACGAAUGUUUUUCGACGAACAAGUUCACCGGUACGGAUGAUCGUUUUGCAUAACAGCACCCCCCUGCCUACCGAUAACUACCAAAAAACUAAAGCUCCUGCCGAAAACUACCGUUAAAAUUAUAGUGCUCCUGCCGAUAACCGCCAAAAUAAGCUGGCCACAUUGAAUACUGCAACUCCUAUGCUCUGCUGUAAUUCUAGGUUUGAACCCACAAUGGGCAUAUUGUUAAGUUCAUUUCUUCAAAUGCCCUACACAUCGAACUACGAGGAUUGUUGUAGCCGUUAUCAGUUCGACGACAAAGAACACUGAGCUAUUGUUGAAAUAAUGUCCUUUCGUUUCCGGUAAAAAACCUAUUGUUAUGUCCGAAAAACUGUUCAGAAUAUGUGACAAACUGUUUGAAUCCCCUAUACCAGGGGCCUCCAAACUUUUCAGCUCGCGGGCCGCAUUGCUUCAAAAAUAACUAUGUUGAGAGCCGUUUGACGCUACCUUUAACUGAUGAGUGAACGUUUAAAUCUCGUUUUUAUAAUAAAAUACCAACGAUACUUGUACAGUUUCGUGUUACUAAAGCUUGA
This is a long non-coding RNA of Anopheles coluzzii, 2584 nucleotides long. RefSeq lists it as uncharacterized. The record is from RefSeq and is a predicted model, not a curated record. NCBI's taxonomy places the organism in Eukaryota, Metazoa, Arthropoda, Insecta, Diptera, Culicidae. The transcript is spliced from 2 exons.